AGCAGUAGCCGCGGUAAUACGGAGGGUGCAAGCGUUAAUCGGAAUUACUGGGCGUAAAGCGUGCGUAGGCGGUUCGUUAAGUCUGUUGUGAAAGCCCCGGGCUCAACCUGGGAAUGGCAAUGGAUACUGGCGAGCUAGAGUGUGUCAGAGGAUGGUGGAAUUCCCGGUGUAGCGGUGAAAUGCGUAGAGAUCGGGAGGAACAUCAGUGGCGAAGGCGGCCAUCUGGGACAACACUGACGCUGAGGCACGAAAGCGUGGGGAGCAAACGGGAUUAGAGACCCGCGUAGUCCCUGUCUCUUAUCA
Molecule: ribosomal RNA, 303 nt
Filed under: uncultured bacterium
Lineage: Bacteria
Description: partial 16S ribosomal RNA
Rfam family: Bacterial small subunit ribosomal RNA
Source: RNAcentral